This 156-nucleotide ribosomal RNA is filed under the name Rhodobacteraceae bacterium R_SAG2. RNAcentral's name for it is "partial 16S ribosomal RNA". It matches the Rfam family "Bacterial small subunit ribosomal RNA", at positions 1 to 160 of the family's 1533-position model. Lineage: Bacteria; Pseudomonadati; Pseudomonadota; Alphaproteobacteria; Rhodobacterales; Paracoccaceae. The record is from RNAcentral.
CAGCGUUUCAACUUGAGAGUUUGAUCCUGGCUCAGAACGAACGCUGGCGGCAGGCCUAACACAUGCAAGUCGAGCGCGCCCUUCGGGGUGAGCGGCGGACGGGUUAGUAACGCGUGGGAACGUGCCCAGAUCUAAGGAAUAGCCACUGGAAACGGU